This 71-nucleotide transfer RNA is filed under the name Caiman latirostris (Broad-snouted caiman). RNAcentral describes it as "tRNA-Gly". Lineage: Eukaryota; Metazoa; Chordata; Crocodylia; Alligatoridae. The record is from RNAcentral.
UGCCUUUCUAGUAUAAGCAAUACAAGUGACUUCCAAUUACUAAAUCCUACGCCACCACCUAGGGAAAAGCA